This 206-nucleotide ribosomal RNA is filed under the name uncultured bacterium. RNAcentral's name for it is "partial 16S ribosomal RNA". It matches the Rfam family "Bacterial small subunit ribosomal RNA", at positions 568 to 774 of the family's 1533-position model. The record is from RNAcentral.
CGCGCAGGCGGUCGUUCAAGUCGCGUGUGAAAGCCCCCGGCUCAACUGGGGAGGGUCACGCGAUACUGAUCGACUCGAAGGCAGGAGAGGGAAGUGGAAUUCCCGGUGUAGUGGUGAAAUGCGUAGAUAUCGGGAGGAACACCAGUGGCGAAGGCGACUUCCUGGCCUGUUCUUGACGCUGAGGCGCGAAAGCUAGGGAGCAAACG